UUGGAUGGCGACUGCCUCCCAACUACACGCAGGAGCGCUUCAUCGCGAGUCUCCUCCACAUUGAGACAUCGCGCUGGUGCCGGUCCUCGGGCAAGCCCACUCAGCUGCUCCACGUCCCUCCCGUACCGCGUCAGUCAGUCACCCGUUUCCUUCUUCUUCUGCAGUCCUCGUCGUGCCCGUUUAGCCCCCCAUACGGUCUCUUGGUAACCCCCUCUCCCCUACGUAAUGUGGCGGCACCGAGGGGAGACGAGAGAGUGAGAGGGGCUCCUCCUUCAGCUCCCCUGCCCGCGUGGCGUAGCCGAGCACGUGGCGCGGUGGGAGGAGACGCGGCCAGGCGGGCAACUCGCGUCAGUGGCGGCCGGGUCGCGGUGAAGUCUCUUGUCGCGGUGAAGUCUCUUGUCUCGCGGUGAAGUCUCUUGCGGGAACUCUCCGCCAACAACACCACCACCACCACUCCCCUCCCCCUACCAUCCAACCACCCGCCGCUCUCCGUCCUUUCGCGUUGUCCCCGCUGCGUCGUCGAGAGCCCUCGAUGCGCCGCAGUGAGUCGCCGUGGUCCGUGCGCCCGCCGAAUCCCCGCUGCUGUAGAACUUUCCACCGUCCGCAAACUCUCUCGCACAGCCGGGAGACUUUUGAUUAAUCAAUAAAUUACUGUAUACGAAAGAAGGCAAAGUGCCCGGCCUUAACACGAGUUUUGGUGGCUUUCCCGUUCGCGAUGUAAGUGGCGUCUAAAGUUACAAAUAGCGAUGUCACCAAAUUUCGAAUUGAAAACAAACCAAUUUACAGACAUUUGUAGAGACAUUGCCGGAUUAUGUCGUCCUCCCAAGCUGGGUGAGUUUGUUGGGUUGUUAUUUUUUUGUAAAGAUAUUUGACGCUGGUCAGUGCGGCUAUGCGCUGAUGUGGUUUCAGGUGACCACCGACUGCGAUCGGGAUCAACUACUGUACUUCAAGUUUACGUCCGUGAUCAAUGACUUUAUGUUUACGUACACCAUCCAAGGAAGCUUGAUAGAGGAGUGCAGGCAGGCAAACACUUUGCCGCAACUAAUUCAUAUCCCAUGGGCUUAGCGUGCGUGACGCUUGCCGAACGAACCACUUGCCUUAAAUCCUCAAAAAAUAUACAACUCAGCCAGGCACUUGUACAACUUGACGGUCUGAUCUGCUGCGUUUCAAAUAAGAUAUGGGUGAAGCUAUAUCCUGUUGUUGAGAUUUAGCUUGCUGAACAUAGCUGCAUGCAGCCAGCAAGGUAACAAUCCGGAGAUGGUACAGAUUUGAGGUCAAUUUUGGCUCAGAAUAUUUUUUUACGAAUUUAAAGCUCUUUAGACGGAUGCUUAAGACUGAAGUGGAAUUCAUCAUCUACAUUUGUGAAAACGAACAGAGACUGAAUGGGAACAUGUGCCCCCAUGACCUCGAGUGGUGUGUGGAAGACUUCAUCACGUGUGGAUUUUUCAAAAAUCCUCUUUUAUGUUAGCCUGCAUUUUGCCCUUGGAGCUUGGCACAUUUGUGUAAUAUAUACAUUAUUGACGAGAAGCACAUAAGUGAAUACUUUUUUUUUUAAACAUAAACAGUCAUGAUAUUAUCUUCAUAUUCUACACAAGACAUUGUGUCAGCCGUGGCCACCUUUAGUACCAUCGCAUUUUUUCUCACCGGAAUUGAUAUUUGUUUGAAAAUUAAAAGGAAGGGGAACACUAAUGGAUUAUCAAUGUUUCCUUUUGUCGCAUGCACUGUCUGUUCAGUGCUGUGGUUGAGGUAUGGAUUACUGAAGACUGACAUGACAUUAAUAUACGUCAAUGCUGCUGGGGCUUUUAUAGAGUUCCUGUACGUCCUUUACUUCUAUACUCACGCUGACGAAAAGAAACCACUUCACAGGAUGUUGUUAGGGGCCACGUGCAUCGUUUUCGCGACGCUUGUUUACAUAAACUACUUGGCGGAAGAUGUGGAAACUGCAAAGUAUCACCUGGGUCUGCUCUGCACUUUCGGUGCAGUUAUAAAUUUUGGCGCGCCCCUUGCUUCCAUUGCUGAAGUGUUUCGGACCAAGAGCACGGAGUGUCUGGCUCUCCCUUUGUGCCUCGCUAAUUUUGUCGUGGCUCUGGAGUGGUUCAUAUAUGGAGUCAUCAUUCAUGAUAGCUUCGUUAAGAUUCCAAAUGUGCUGGGGUCGAUGCUGGGAGUGGCACAGCUGGCGCUCUUUGUUAUGUAUCCAAGGGCUGACAACCCACCACGAUAUGAUAUGUCGUCACCCACGCUGAAAGCUCCAUAAGUGCAUACGUAUCGGUGUUUUCGACAUUGAAUUACACAACAUCUGUUUUGUACUGUCAGCAUUAUGCAAAGUGGUUGGAAUUUAAAACAAAAAUGGAUGAAACUUUGUCAAUGUGUUAUGGGUGUUUUUUUUUACCUUGACAAGUAAAAUUGUGGGUUUAGAAACCUUGUAACAAAAACGAAGACAACAGGAAAUGUCAGUGUUUUAGAAGUCUCAUUCUUUUUCACCUUAGCUGCCUUAGGCUUUAAAUAAUUUCUUAUGAAAGUAUGUUUACAAAUGCGAACUACAUAUUCAGACCUGAAUGGGAUUGUUGCAUUUACACACCGUCGUGCAUCAUGAUGAUAUAUAUUGCUACAUGCGUGUUAAAGAACUCCACAGUUCCAUUUGAUAUAUUUAAUAGCGUAGCCAAAACACAUUCUGCUUGCAUUGUUUUCUGGGUUGGUGGAAUGUAGAGUUGACUUGACCAUUGCACAAUUGUGCCCUUUCGAUGCAAGUGAACAAAUCACUCGGUGGCCACAUCACAUCCGCAUUUGGAUGCACUUAUUAUCUCGGCAUGCUUAUUUGAGGCGUGAUAUAUCGAUUUAUUUACGUGCCGAAUUUCUUUCGCACCGUACAUAGCCAACCGUAUUAUUCGGAGGUGUGGGGGGAGGUCAACAAACUAAACACAAAAAGGCCUUCUAAGGAAAUGAGCUUGCAAUCGAUUUAAAAGCAGCUUCCUAAUAUCAGAAGGAAGAGCAUUCCAGACGGUCACAGAUGAGCAUCUGAAAGCGCGUGAUGCAGUUACCGUCUUUGUUCGAUAGCCAAUGCCAGGAUGACUGUAGGUCACGUGAUGGUUCAUGCUCUUUGAGGGGAUCACAAAGGUAUUGUGGUUCGUUUGUUGCAAGCACCUUGUGUGUAAUGUUAAUGCUAAAUUACAGUCCUUUUUCAAUCCACUACUGGAUGAAUACCUUCCGAGACCUUUUCGGUUAUUGGGGGUUUACCCAUACUUCCCCAACGCUGGUCAGUGUAUAUUGAUGUAAAGGGGGUCCAGGACUUUUGUUAACACUUAUUCACUGUGAAAAGGGAUGGGAUGCUACGUUAGAGUAGUGCAAUAAACAUUGCUGCAACGCUCCACACAUACCUUUGUUAAGUGUUUGCUUUUUUGAUGAAUUUGCCCCAAGGCCUGUUUGUGUUUCAAAUGAAUUAUAAAAAAACGUAAUUGGA
Molecule: non-coding RNA, 3457 nt
Organism: Petromyzon marinus (sea lamprey)
Lineage: Eukaryota; Metazoa; Chordata; Hyperoartia; Petromyzontiformes; Petromyzontidae
Source: RefSeq, a predicted model, not a curated record